Molecule: long non-coding RNA, 172 nt
Organism: Trifolium pratense (red clover)
Lineage: Eukaryota; Viridiplantae; Streptophyta; Magnoliopsida; Fabales; Fabaceae
Exons: 3
Source: RefSeq, a predicted model, not a curated record
AUCCAUCUCUUGAAAGUUGGUCAUUUAUAUUCUUUGAGAUUCGAUGAAAAUUGCUCCGGUGGUCAUUCCGGAAGGCAUUGCUAGGAACGGAGUUGAUUCGUCAUAGUUAUUCAAAGUCAACUGAAUAGAAAGCUUCUAUCAGAGUUAAAGAUUUGUCAAUGUCACUCUUUUG